Non-coding RNA from Cinara cedri, 201 nucleotides. The record is from the annotation of a GenBank genome assembly. NCBI's taxonomy places the organism in Eukaryota, Metazoa, Arthropoda, Insecta, Hemiptera, Aphididae.
CGUCCGGGCCAAUUUUUCCGGAACGCAACCCGUUCGGACCGGUUUCGAAGACCCGUUUGGGCGGAAAAACACUGUUUUUUUAUUACGGCCCGCUCGGACCAGAAGUUUCGUUGUUUCAGCUUGACUGAACGUUUGUUUAGCGAGCCUUUUAUAUUGUAGUGUUUUAUCCGCGUUGUCUCAUCGUAUAUAAGACCUUGACGC